CCUGGCGGCACUAGCGCGGUGGUCCCACCUGACCCCAUGCCGAACUCAGAAGUGAAACGCCGUAGCGCCGAUGGUAGUGUGGGGUCUCCCCUGA
This 94-nucleotide ribosomal RNA is filed under the name Klebsiella pneumoniae. The record is from RNAcentral. Lineage: Bacteria; Pseudomonadati; Pseudomonadota; Gammaproteobacteria; Enterobacterales; Enterobacteriaceae.